RNAcentral lists this ribosomal RNA (512 nucleotides) under uncultured bacterium. RNAcentral describes it as "partial 16S ribosomal RNA". It matches the Rfam family "Bacterial small subunit ribosomal RNA", at positions 28 to 523 of the family's 1533-position model. The record is from RNAcentral.
GAUGAACGCUGGCGGCAUGCCUAAUACAUGCAAGUCGAACGAGAGGAAGGAAAGCUUGCUUUUCUGAACCUAGUGGCGAACGGGUGAGUAACACGUAGGUAACCUGCCCAUGUGCCCGGGAUAACUUCUGAAAACGGAUGCUAAAACCGGAUAGGUAGCAGACAAGCAUUUGACUGCUAUUAAAGUGGCUAAGGCCAUGAACAUGGAUGGACCUGCGGUGCAUUAGCUAGUUGGUGAGGUAACGGCCCACCAAGGCGACGAUGCAUAGCCGGCCUGAGAGGGCGGACGGCCACAUUGGGACUGAGACACGGCCCAAACUCCUACGGGAGGCAGCAGUAGGGAAUUCUCGUCAAUGGGGGGAACCUUGAACGAGCAAUGCCGCGUGAGUGAAGAAGGUCUUCGGAUCGUAAAGCUCUGUUGUAAGAGAAAAACGACAUUCAUAGGGAAUGGUGAGUGAGUGAUGGUAUCUUACCAGAAAGUCACGGCUAACUACGUGCCAGCAGCCGCCGUAA